AAUAUCUUGCAUGUUACAGAUUUCACUACUCCCACCAGCUUGGAGACAACAUGUGGUUCUUGACAACUCUGCUCCUUUGGGUUCCAGUUGAUGGGCAAGUGGUAGACACCACAAAGGCAGUGAUCACUUUGCAGCCUCCAUGGGUCAGCGUGUUCCAAGAGGAAACCAUAACCUUGCACUGUGAGGUGCUCCAUCUGCCUGGGAGCAGCUCCACACAGUGGUUUCUCAAUGGCACAGCCACUCAGACCUCGACCCCCAGCUACAGAAUCACCUCUGCCAGUGUCAAUGACAGUGGUGAAUACAGGUGCCAGAGAGGUCUCUCAGGGCGAAGUGACCCCAUACAGCUGGAAAUCCACAGAGGCUGGCUACUACUGCAGGUCUCCAGCAGAGUCUUCAUGGAAGGAGAACCUCUGGCCUUGAGGUGUCAUGCGUGGAAGGAUAAGCUGGUGUACAAUGUGCUUUACUAUCGAAAUGGCAAAGCCUUUAAGUUUUUCCACUGGAAUUCUAACCUCACCAUUCUGAAAACCAACAUAAGUCACAAUGGCACCUACCAUUGCUCAGGCAUGGGAAAGCAUCGCUACACAUCAGCAGGAAUAUCACAAUACACUGUGAAAGCAAGACCCUGCGAGGCAGGAACACAUCCUCUGAAUACCAAAUACUAACUGCUAGAAGAGAAGACUCUGGGUUAUACUGGUGCGAGGCUGCCACAGAGGAUGGAAAUGUCCUUAAGCACAGCCCUGAGUUGGAGCUUCAAGUGCUUGGUGAGAAUGACGGGAAGCCACUGGCACAGAAGAAGGGACUCCCUUAUCUCCCAUGGGACUGAGGCCUCCAGUUACCAACUCCUGUCUGGUUUCAUGUCCUUUUCUAUCUGGCAGUGGGAAUAAUGUUUUUAGUGAACACUGUUCUCUGGGUGACAAUACGUAAAGAACUGAAAAGAAAGAAAAAGUGGAAUUUAGAAAUCUCUUUGGAUUCUGGUCAUGAGAAGAAGGUAAUUUCCAGCCUUCAAGAAGACAGACAUUUAGAAGAAGAGCUGAAAUGUCAGGAACAAAAAGAAGAACAGCUGCAGGAAGGGGUGCACCGGAAGGAGCCCCAGGGGGCCACGUAGCAGCGGCUCAGUUGGUGGCCAUCGAUCUGGACCGUCCCCUGCCCACUUGCUCCCCGUGAGCACUGCGUACAAACAUCCAAAAGUUCAACAACACCAGAACUGUGUGUCUCAUGGUAUAUAACUCUUAAAGCAAAUAAAUGAACUGACUUCAACUG
This is a long non-coding RNA of Homo sapiens (human), 1260 nucleotides long. Ensembl annotates it as Fc gamma receptor Ib, pseudogene. Its record names the gene FCGR1BP. Lineage: Eukaryota; Metazoa; Chordata; Mammalia; Primates; Hominidae. The record is from Ensembl.